This 525-nucleotide ribosomal RNA is filed under the name Cladosporium cladosporioides. RNAcentral's name for it is "eukaryotic LSU rRNA". The stretch from base 173 to 326 matches the Rfam family "5.8S ribosomal RNA". The record is from RNAcentral. Lineage: Eukaryota; Fungi; Ascomycota; Dothideomycetes; Cladosporiales; Cladosporiaceae.
UGCGGAGGGAUCAUUACAAGUGACCCCGGUCUAACCACCGGGAUGUUCAUAACCCUUUGUUGUCCGACUCUGUUGCCUCCGGGGCGACCCUGCCUUCGGGCGGGGGCUCCGGGUGGACACUUCAAACUCUUGCGUAACUUUGCAGUCUGAGUAAACUUAAUUAAUAAAUUAAAACUUUUAACAACGGAUCUCUUGGUUCUGGCAUCGAUGAAGAACGCAGCGAAAUGCGAUAAGUAAUGUGAAUUGCAGAAUUCAGUGAAUCAUCGAAUCUUUGAACGCACAUUGCGCCCCCUGGUAUUCCGGGGGGCAUGCCUGUUCGAGCGUCAUUUCACCACUCAAGCCUCGCUUGGUAUUGGGCAACGCGGUCCGCCGCGUGCCUCAAAUCGACCGGCUGGGUCUUCUGUCCCCUAAGCGUUGUGGAAACUAUUCGCUAAAGGGUGUUCGGGAGGCUACGCCGUAAAACAACCCCAUUUCUAAGGUUGACCUCGGAUCAGGUAGGGAUACCCGCUGAACUUAAGCAUAUCA